UACGGUAGGGGGCUAGCGUUAUCCGGAAUUACUGGGGCGUAAAGGGUGCGUAGGUGGUUUCUUAAGUCAGAGGUGAAAGGCUACGGCUCAACCGUAGUAAGCCUUUGAAACUGGGAAACUUGAGUGCAGGAGAGGAGAGUGGAAUUCCUAGUGUAGCGGUGAAAUGCGUAGAUAUUAGGAGGAACACCAGUUGCGAAGGCGGCUCUCUGGACUGUAACUGACACUGAGGCACGAAAGCGUGGGGAGCAAACAGGAUUAGAUACCCCCGUAGUCCCUGAGCGGGCU
This 285-nucleotide ribosomal RNA is filed under the name uncultured prokaryote. RNAcentral describes it as "partial 16S ribosomal RNA". It matches the Rfam family "Bacterial small subunit ribosomal RNA", at positions 524 to 817 of the family's 1533-position model. The record is from RNAcentral.